This is a non-coding RNA of Stegodyphus mimosarum, 73 nucleotides long. NCBI's taxonomy places the organism in Eukaryota, Metazoa, Arthropoda, Arachnida, Araneae, Eresidae. The record is from Rfam.
GCCUUCCUUGUGUAGUGGUCAGCAUACUCGACACGUAACCGAAAGGUCCGUGGUUCGAUUCCCGGCGAAGGCG